Molecule: long non-coding RNA, 1113 nt
Filed under: Numida meleagris (helmeted guineafowl)
Lineage: Eukaryota; Metazoa; Chordata; Aves; Galliformes; Numididae
Description: lncRNA (ENSNMEG00000010758.1)
Source: RNAcentral
ACGAGGACAGGCAGCCCUGGGAAAGCGGAGUCAGGCAGAACAAAAUAAUCGCCUUAGGAGGUGCUUCCAAAGGGCUUUGAGCGAAUCUGGAGCGUGCGUGUUACUCUCCUCGCUCUGUUUUUGUCAUGUCUCCGCAAUAAAGUGGACAUUUUCCCAGCUGCUCGGCGGGGCUGACAGCGUGUUGUCAGGAUGGGGCUGUGCCCUAAAUACAGACUCUUGCGGGUUCAGAAAGUUCCCUUCCUCUAAUUGGAGCCGGCUCGCCGAGGUGAAGAAAAGCUGCAAAAUUGUUUUAAGCUACGAGCAAUUAUAACAACCCUUACAGUGCCAGUGACACUAAGAGGAUUUGUACUGGAUUAUAUCUAACGUUAACAUGAUCUAAUGCCGCCUGAAUAACGCAGCCCGCAGCGGGACUGGCUCGCAGGGACGGGUGCCUUGUUCUUCAAAGCCACCUGGGGCUCAGGGAGAGAGGGAAGCAAAGCUGUGCAGGGCAAAUUUUGGUGCGAUGUCGGGUCUGGUUUAAACACUGGAGAUAGGGAGUGCUAGAGCAAGUGUGUUUUAAUGAGAGCCCAGCAGCCUCCUGCUAUUCGGCACUCACCCAGCUGGGCAGGGAGAUGCUGCAGAGUUCUCAUGGUGAUGCCAUGACACGUGUCACACUGGCCAUGGUGCUAGGGCAUGCUGGGUGACCCGAACUGUGACACCCUGCUGUCUCCAGGCUGCAUCAGAUUGUCUGAGGCUGCUUUUAAAAAGUGUUUUAAAAUAAUCCUUUUUAUAGUGGAAUGAAGAAUAACGGCACAGAGAGGCUUCAGCUGGUAUAGGCAGAAGAAAAAUGGGAUUAAUUAGGAUAUGCCCUCAUACGCACAGAUUUCAGUGAAAGUUCUGCUCUGACAGAGCAGGCUGGAAAGGCUCUAUGCACCAGUGAUCGUGGUGGUGUACGGAAAAGGAGGGGAAGGAGGGAUGGUGCAGGAGCUCAGCUUGCAGGCUGCGAUCUUGGAGAAUAUCUGCUCUGCUGCCAACAUAAGAGCUGACAAAAAGCAACGCACCUAUGCAACAUUGAACUGUAGUCCAUCCCUCCGAAAUCUACCCAGGGCCAUUUAUGGAAAAUGGAUAUUUUGA